GAUGAACGCUGGCGGCGUGCCUAAUACAUGCAAGUCGAGCGAACAGAUGAGGAGCUUGCUCCUCUGACGUUAGCGGCGGACGGGUGAGUAACACGUGGAUAACCUACCUAUAAGACUGGGAUAACUUCGGGAAACCGGAGCUAAUACCGGAUAAUAUAUUGAACCGCAUGGUUCAAUAGUGAAAGACGGUUUUGCUGUCACUUAUCGAUGGAUCCGCGCCGCAUUUGCUAGUUGGUAAGGUAACGGCUUACCAAGGCAACGAGUCGUACCCGACCGGACUGGGUGAUCGGCCACACUGGAACGUAGACACGCUCCAGACUCCUACGGGAGGCAGCAGUAUGGAAUCUGCCGCAAUAGGCGAAAGCAUUGCGGAGCAACGCGGCGUGAGUUGUGAAGGUCUUCGGAUCGUAAAACUCUGUUAUGAGGGAAAAACAAAUUUGGAAGUAACUAUACACGUCUUGACGGUACCUAAUCAGAAAGCCACGGCUAACUACGUG
RNAcentral lists this ribosomal RNA (497 nucleotides) under uncultured bacterium. RNAcentral's name for it is "partial 16S ribosomal RNA". It matches the Rfam family "Bacterial small subunit ribosomal RNA", at positions 28 to 507 of the family's 1533-position model. The record is from RNAcentral.